GGGGAUGAAGGGUUUCGACGGGGAAGGCUGGUCACGGACGGCGAGCCGGGGGGCUCCGGCCCCGUUAACAACGGAGCACAAACCCAAGAGUGCCAACGAUUGGGCUGCGAUUCCUGUCGCCGCAUAACGCGGUAGUGGGAAAAGCGGACCGCUGAAGCGCGGUCCCGUCCGCCCCGGUCUCGCGCCGGUAGGCCGGGGGCCGGGCGUCAGAAGGCUGGCGUGCGGCGGCCGGACGCCGAUAGGGCCGCUCAAGAAACCCAUCGGCUAGGCCUGGGUGUAGCGCGGUCGGCAGCGACUCCCCGGGCGAGAAGCAAGAGCCGACUACGCUCGUAGAAGUCCCUGGUCGAGUUCUCCGGACGCGGGUUCGAUUCCCGCCAUCUCCACCA
RNAcentral lists this transfer-messenger RNA (386 nucleotides) under Chloroflexota bacterium. It matches the Rfam family "transfer-messenger RNA". From Rfam's summary of the family: Bacterial tmRNA, also known as 10Sa RNA or SsrA, is named for its dual tRNA and mRNA-like properties. The record is from RNAcentral. Lineage: Bacteria; Bacillati; Chloroflexota.